UCGUAGGGUGCAGCGUUGUCCGGAAUUAUUGGGCGUAAAGGGCUCGUAGGCGGUUUGUCGCGUCGGGAGUGAAAACACCGGGCUUAACUCGGUGCUUGCUUCCGAUACGGGCAGACUAGAGGCAUGCAGGGGAGAACGGAAUUCCUGGUGUAGCGGUGAAAUGCGCAGAUAUCAGGAGGAACACCGGUGGCGAAGGCGGUUCUCUGGGCAUGUCCUGACGCUGAGGAGCGAAAGUGUGGGGAGCGAACAGG
RNAcentral lists this ribosomal RNA (251 nucleotides) under uncultured bacterium. Its description in RNAcentral is "partial 16S ribosomal RNA". It matches the Rfam family "Bacterial small subunit ribosomal RNA", at positions 525 to 776 of the family's 1533-position model. The record is from RNAcentral.